Molecule: long non-coding RNA, 708 nt
Organism: Cyprinus carpio carpio
Lineage: Eukaryota; Metazoa; Chordata; Actinopteri; Cypriniformes; Cyprinidae
Source: Ensembl
UCAACACAGUCUCACCCCUAUUCGUCACAUACUGCCGUUUGGUCAUUUCCCCCUCACGUCCAUAAGCCGACGUUGAGGGUACCCCCUAUUCGUCGCUUGACAACGUAGAGGGUCGUCUGAUAGAUUUGAGUGCAAAUCCCUCAUCUUUGAAUUUUGACGAAAUGGGGUUAUCCAUCCAGCGGUUUGCCUGCGCUGGAAAGUAUGGUUUCAGAUGGACCGUCUCCUGAAUGAGAUGAGUGACCUUGUCGAUCAGGCUGAACAUCAAGCUCACCUCCAACAGCUCAUUAGCAUGCACCAGGAAGCAGAACCAUCCACCGGUCAGCCUUCCACCAGUAAUCCAUCCACCAGCCGGCCAUCAAAAAGCAAGCAAGAUGUUAGGUGGAUUAAGAGGGACAGUGAUGGAAACAUUAUUUACGGCAGGCCCAGAUCAUCCCGGAAACAAGCAGCAGGUCCCAGUCACAGCCAGAGUCGAAAGACUGGUGUCUCUCAUAUCAGGGCUCCUGAAACCAGUGCGGAAAUGACCAGUGACUUUCCUUCCGUUACUGCAGAGUCCUUCCUUCAAGAGUUUAAAAGCUCACUGUUUGAGGAAAUACAUGACGAUGAAACGGUACUUCAAGCCUCAACAGACUGGUCGACCCGAAAGAGCCUCAUAUCAGGGUGGUGGGAGAAAGAGAGACCCCGACUGGUCAACACCAUGGUGGCUCGACA